Molecule: ribosomal RNA, 267 nt
Filed under: uncultured Streptococcus sp.
Lineage: Bacteria; Bacillati; Bacillota; Bacilli; Lactobacillales; Streptococcaceae
Description: partial 16S ribosomal RNA
Rfam family: Bacterial small subunit ribosomal RNA
Source: RNAcentral
UAGUUGCCAGCGAUUCGGUCGGGGGACUCUAGAGAUACUGCCCGGUUAACGGGGAGGAAGUGGGGAUGACGUCAAGUCCUCAUGGCCCUUAUGCCAGGGCUACACACGUGCUCAAUGGUUGGUACAACGAGUUGCGAGUCGGUGACGGCGAGCUAAUCUCUUAAAGCCAAUCUCAGUUCGGAUUGUAGGCUGCAACUCGCCUACAUGAAGUCGGAAUCGCUAGUAAUCGCGGAUCAGCACGCCGCGGUGAAUACGUUCCCGGGCCUU